RNAcentral lists this ribosomal RNA (253 nucleotides) under uncultured bacterium. RNAcentral describes it as "partial 16S ribosomal RNA". It matches the Rfam family "Bacterial small subunit ribosomal RNA", at positions 524 to 776 of the family's 1533-position model. The record is from RNAcentral.
UACGUAGGUGACCAGCGUUGUCCGGAUUUACUGGGCGUAAAGAGCGCGCAGGCGGUCGUUCAAGUCGAGUGUGAAAGCCCCCGGCUCAACUGGGGAGGGUCACUCGAUACUGGUCGACUCGAAGGCAGGAGAGGGAAGCGGAAUUCCCGGUGUAGUGGUGAAAUGCGUAGAUAUCGGGAGGAACACCAGUGGCGAAGGCGGCUUUCUGGCCUGCUCUUGACGCUGAGGCGCGAAAGCUAGGGUAGCAAACGGG